Molecule: ribosomal RNA, 253 nt
Filed under: uncultured bacterium
Lineage: Bacteria
Description: partial 16S ribosomal RNA
Rfam family: Bacterial small subunit ribosomal RNA
Source: RNAcentral
UACGAAGGGGGCAAGCGUUGUUCGGAAUUAUUGGGCGUAAAGCGCGUGUAGGCGGUCCGGUAAGUCCGCUGUGAAAGUCGGGGGCUCAACCCUCGAAUGCCGGUGGAUACUGUCGGGCUUGAGUGCGGGAGAGGCGAGUGGAAUUCCUGGUGUAGCGGUGAAAUGCGCAGAUAUCAGGAGGAACACCGAUUGCGAAGGCAGCUCGCUGGAACGUUACUGACGCUGAGACGCGAAAGCGUGGGGAGCAAACAGG